UGGGGAAUUUUGGACAAUGGGGGAAACCCUGAUCCAGCCAUCCCGCGUGUGCGAUGAAGGCCUUCGGGUUGUAAAGCACUUUUGGCAGGAAAGAAACGUCGCGGGUUAAUACCCCGCGAAACUGACGGUACCUGCAGAAUAAGCACCGGCUAACUACGUGCCAGCAGCCGCGGUAAUACGUAGGGUGCAAGCGUUAAUCGGAAUUACUGGGCGUAAAGCGUGCGCAGGCGGUUCGGAAAGAAAGAUGUGAAAUCCCAGAGCUUAACUUUGGAACUGCAUUUUUAACUACCGGGCUAGAGUGUGUCAGAGGGAGGUGGAAUUCCGCGUGUAGCAGUGAAAUGCGUAGAUAUGCGGAGGAACACCGAUGGCGAAGGCAGCCUCCUGGGAUAACACUGACGCUCAUGCACGAAAGCGUGGGGAGCAAACAGGAUUAGAUACCCUGGUAGUCCACGCCCUAAACGAUGUCAACUAGCUGUUGGGGCCUUCGGGCCUUGGUAGCGCAGCUAACGCGUGAAGUUGACCGCCUGGGGAGUACGGUCGCAAGAUUAAAACUCAAAGGAAUUGAC
Molecule: ribosomal RNA, 566 nt
Filed under: uncultured bacterium
Lineage: Bacteria
Description: partial 16S ribosomal RNA
Rfam family: Bacterial small subunit ribosomal RNA
Source: RNAcentral